CAGGCCUAACACAUGCAAGUCGAACGGGCCGCAAGGCCAGUGGCAAACGGGUGCGUAACGCGUAAGCAACCUGUCUCAAACUGGGGGAUAGCCCGGCGAAAGCUGGGGUAAACCCGCACGGUCCUAUGCAGUCACCUGGCUUUUUAGGUAAACAUUCAUGGGUUUGAGAGGGGCUUGCGUCUGAUUAGCUAGUUGGUUGGGGUAACGGCUCACCAAGGCGAUGAUCAGUAGGGGUUCUGAGAGGAUUGGCCCCCACAUGGGUACUGAGAGACGGACCCAACUCCUACGGGAGGCAGCAGUAGGGAAUAUUGGGCAAUGGGCGCAAGCCUGACCCAGCCAUGCCGCGUGCCGGACGAACGCGCUCAGCGUUGUAAACUGCUUUUAGCUGGGAAGAACGGAUAGAGUGCGCUCUAUAGUGACGGUACCAGCGGAAUAAGCACCGGCUAACUCCGUGCCAGCAGCCGCGGUAAU
Molecule: ribosomal RNA, 471 nt
Filed under: uncultured bacterium
Lineage: Bacteria
Description: bacterial SSU rRNA
Rfam family: Bacterial small subunit ribosomal RNA
Source: RNAcentral